Molecule: transfer RNA, 75 nt
Filed under: Candidatus Rokuibacteriota bacterium
Lineage: Bacteria; Candidatus Rokuibacteriota
Also listed under: 1 other name
Description: Candidatus Rokubacteria bacterium tRNA-Met
Rfam family: tRNA
About the family: Transfer RNA (tRNA) molecules are approximately 80 nucleotides in length. Their secondary structure includes four short double-helical elements and three loops (D, anti-codon, and T loops).
Source: RNAcentral
GGGCCCAUAGCUCAAUGGCAGAGCAGCCGGCUCAUAACCGGUUAGGUCCUGGUUCGAGUCCGGGUGGGCCCACCA